This is a non-coding RNA of Vicia faba (fava bean), 237 nucleotides long. NCBI's taxonomy places the organism in Eukaryota, Viridiplantae, Streptophyta, Magnoliopsida, Fabales, Fabaceae. The record is from the annotation of a GenBank genome assembly.
AUGCUAAGUAUCUUUGCACAAAAAGGAUAUGGAAAUGCAUAUCAUAAUUGUUGGGAGCAUCCAGAAGACAUGGAUAUACCGAGAACAACAUACAAGAUUGAUGCUAAUUCCCCUGGAACGGGGGCUGAAGCUAAGAUGGUUGCUGCUCUUUCUGCUACUUCAAUUGUCUUUAAGAAAACAUAUACCAGUUAUUCAUCCAAGCUAUUAAGCCAGUCAAAAUCUGAUGAACUGUUAUAG